UUCGUGGUGGUCAUAGCGGUAAGGUCACGCCCGGUCCCGUUCCGAUCCCGGUAGCUAAGCUUGCCAGCGCUGAUGGUACUGCACUUUUUAGUGUGGGAGAGUAAGUCACUGCCACGG
This 117-nucleotide ribosomal RNA is filed under the name Winkia neuii. The record is from RNAcentral. Lineage: Bacteria; Bacillati; Actinomycetota; Actinomycetes; Actinomycetales; Actinomycetaceae.